GCAGGUGUAGCUCAAGGGUAGAGCGCUUCCUUGCCAAGGAAGAGGUUGAGGGUUCGAAUCCCUUCACCCGCUCCA
RNAcentral lists this transfer RNA (75 nucleotides) under Bacteriophage DSS3_MAL1. Its description in RNAcentral is "tRNA-Gly". It matches the Rfam family "tRNA". From Rfam's summary of the family: Transfer RNA (tRNA) molecules are approximately 80 nucleotides in length. Their secondary structure includes four short double-helical elements and three loops (D, anti-codon, and T loops). The record is from RNAcentral. Lineage: Duplodnaviria; Heunggongvirae; Uroviricota; Caudoviricetes.